GAAAGUUAAGUACUCUCUGCAAGUACCAACAAAAGCUUCUUGAACUUGAUACAAUAAUGACCAACCAAAUAUGGCUAACCUUUCCCAAAAAUAUAAACAGAACUAUAUGAACAACUUAAUAAGCCAUCAGCCAAAUCCUGGAGGCACUUCAGGAUCUUCAUCAUUAACAUCAUCUGGAUUCUUCUCUAUUGUGCCUAUAGCAAAGCCAGGUGGCGCACCCACAUCCACACUUUCGGGUAUCAAAGGGUCAAGUGAGCAGUUGUUCU
RNAcentral lists this unclassified non-coding RNA (266 nucleotides) under Hevea brasiliensis (rubber tree). The record is from RNAcentral. Lineage: Eukaryota; Viridiplantae; Streptophyta; Magnoliopsida; Malpighiales; Euphorbiaceae.